This is a long non-coding RNA of Myotis brandtii (Brandt's bat), 351 nucleotides long. RefSeq lists it as uncharacterized. The transcript is spliced from 3 exons. The record is from RefSeq and is a predicted model, not a curated record. Lineage: Eukaryota; Metazoa; Chordata; Mammalia; Chiroptera; Vespertilionidae.
CCUGGCAGUGCUGUGUCCACCAUGGAGCUGGACAGGGAGAAGCUGUAGGUGUGACCAGCUUUGGAGUCAGAGGGGCUGCGCUUCCUGCUUCCUGCACGUCACCGAAAGAAGACUGAGAAAACCAUUCAGCUGCAAAAUGGGUUACUUUUAUGGAAAAGGAAAGAAGAUUUGGAGGACAUAACCCAGAGCCAUGGUGAACCAUUACCAGGCAGUAGCACUGCAUCUAAUCAGAGAUUUGGACACACACAGGAACAGAUGGGACCACGUGAAGACUUAGAGAGAAGAUGGCCAUCGACCAGCCAAGAUAAGCUUCAAAAGGAACCAACCUGCCAACACCUUGAUCUUAGACUU